GGGUCCUUUGUGGAAGUCAUGGGGCAGGGUCCCCUGAGGCACCUUGAAAGUAAAGGAGAAACAGCUCUCAGGGACUCAGCUGCAAGUCAUUAGUAACUAAGCGGAACAGCUGUCUUCAGCAAAGCUUGACCUGGAUCCCAGAACUGAAACAGCGGGAGAAACAGAACUCUCACCUUCCUUAACCUGGAUCCCAGAAUUUAAACGGACUGCUUCCCCAACAGCAGGCGAUGGAGUCCCUGAGAUGCCUGCUAAAAAUACAGACCCCUGUUCACAAGGGCCAAGAGGUGGGAGCAACCCAGGUGUGUACGGAUGGAUAAAUGGAUAAGCAAAAUGUGGUCUAGCCAUGCAACGGAAUGUCCUGCAGCCUUGAACAGGAAGGAAAUCUUGACGCGCGCCGCAGCAUGGGGGAGCCGCAAUGAGGACGUUAUGCUAAGCCAGUCACAAGUGCAUGAUUCCACUCAGAGGAAGGACCCAGAGUCGUCAAAUUCAGAGACACAGAGAUGGAGAAAUUGCACUGCAGAGAAAUCUUUAAAAGCAAUUACCUAAUACUGCAGAUUGCUGAACUGUACCCACACCCAAGACUGAGCAUUGGAUCAAUCCAGAAUAUACAUCAGGUGUUCUGCAAUGUCUGCCUAAAACCAUGACUCUGCCUCCUCCAGCUGUUGCUACAUCUCACUAUGGGUUUCCUGUGACAUUUUGAGCAAGUAUGCCUCUGUGACUGGGGUUCUUACACUCCAGAAUGGAUGAGAAGCACCGUAAGUGGCUUUUAAAAUGAAUAUUCCCUGGCCCUUCAGUCGCUCUAUAGGUCAAGAAUCUGAAUUCUCAACCUGUCUAGAAGGUUCUGGUUUUAAUGGUCUGUGGGCUGCACAUUGAGAAACCUGUUCAGCGAGUGCAACAAAGGUUCCACAUGUGAGAAAGGAAGCAUCAGGUCUCUUGAGCCUGUUCUUUAAUCUGUAGGCUGCACCUUCUCUUUAAAUUCUGCUAAUAACACCAUGCGAGAAAACACCCGAGCUUGAAAAGCCCAUGUUCCAACAUAACUGUCCUUCACCACUCUGGAAAAUUAAUGGUUUGUUUCGAUUAUCCCUUUGUUAAACUCCAAAGUCAAAGAGCUCUGAAAGGCAUACGGUUAUUUUAAGUUUCAGGUGAUUUCUGUUGCCAAAUAUUUUAAAAAUUUAAAAUUGCUACGUG
RNAcentral lists this long non-coding RNA (1188 nucleotides) under Homo sapiens (human). RNAcentral describes it as "HSALNT0331844". The record is from RNAcentral. Lineage: Eukaryota; Metazoa; Chordata; Mammalia; Primates; Hominidae.